GUAACAUUUUUCAGAUUUUGAUGAAAGUCUCUGGAGACUUUUUGCAAAAAUCUGACUCUGGUGCAGUAAUUGAUGAGAAUGAAUUUGAGUUUGCUGAGUACAUAUGUGAGAGCAUGGUUGCUUUGGGUUCUUCAAACUUGCAAUGUAUUGCUGCUGAUAAUUCAGUUCUAUCAUAUUACCUUCAACAGAUGCUCGGAUUUUUCAAGCACCAUAAGCUUGCUCUCCAUUAUCAAUCUCUUCUGUUUUGGCUGACGCUUAUGAGAGAUUUGUUGUCAAAGCCAAAGAUUAUUGGGUCUGGGGAAAACUCAGCUAGUAAUCUUGCAGUGGGAUCAGGACAGGAUACAGAGAAAAACAAAAUAUUGGCUUUUGUAAAUGAUGAUAUCUGCAGUUCUAUAUUGGAUGUAUCUUUCCAGCGAUUACUGAAGAAGGAAAAAAUUAAUCCUGGAACAUCGCUUUCUGUUGGGACAUUAGAGUUGUGGAGUGAUGAUUUUGAGGGUAAAGGAGAUUUUGGCCAGUACCGUUCGAGGCUGUUAGAGUUGAUCCGUUUUGUUGCAGCCGCCAAGCCUAUGGUAGCUGCUGCUAAAGUUUGUGAGAGGAGCAUGACUAUUAUUAAGAGUCUCUUCCUUGCACCUUAUCCUGCUCAGGAAUUGGUUAUACUUGAGAGCAUGCAGUUAGCUUUAGAAAAUGUUGUAAAUUCAG
This 699-nucleotide unclassified non-coding RNA is filed under the name Hevea brasiliensis (rubber tree). Lineage: Eukaryota; Viridiplantae; Streptophyta; Magnoliopsida; Malpighiales; Euphorbiaceae. The record is from RNAcentral.